UACGGAGGGUGCAAACGUUGCUCGGAAUCAUUGGGCGUAAAGCGCACGUAGGCGGUCUGUUAAGUCGGAUGUGAAAGCCCUGGGCUCAACCCAGGAAGUGCAUUCGAAACUAGCAGACUUGAAUAUGGAAGAGGGUCGCGGAAUUCCCGGUGUAGAGGUGAAAUUCGUAGAUAUCGGGAGGAACACCAGUGGCGAAGGCGGCGACCUGGGCCAAUAUUGACGCUGAGGUGCGAAAGCGUGGGGAGCAAACAGG
Molecule: ribosomal RNA, 253 nt
Filed under: uncultured bacterium
Lineage: Bacteria
Description: partial 16S ribosomal RNA
Rfam family: Bacterial small subunit ribosomal RNA
Source: RNAcentral